UGGGUCCAACCCUUCCGUAGGGGAACUUGUGGAAGGAUCAUUAAAGAUUGACCGAAAGGUCUUAUCUCUAUAUCCCUCACCUCUGUGAACUGUGGACCUCCGGGUCUGUCUUAACAAUCCUCCGGGCGAUGAACGUAUAUAUCAUUAAACAAAACAAAACUUUCAACAACGGAUUUAUCGGCUGUUGUAUUGAUGAAGACAGCAGUGAAAUGCGAUAAGUAAUGUGAUAAGCAGAAUUCAGUGAAUCAUUGAAUGAAUGAUCGCGUCUUGCGCCUUUUGGUAUUCCGAAAGGCAUGCCGGGGGGAGUGUCAUGAAAUGUCACUCCCCCCGGGUUUAUGAUGUGGGUCGGACUUGGACAUGGGCGUCUUCCGGUCGCACGGCUCGCCUCAAAUGACUUAGUGGAUCUCUUCGCAUCCGUGACAGAAGUAAUAAGUUUCGUCUUGUCCGUAGGUAAGGAGUGUGCCAAUAACCUGCCAUCGCGCACUUUUAGACUCUGACCUCAAAUCAGGUACCACUACCCGCUGAACUUAACCAUAUCAAUAUUUUGGAGGAGUUGACCUCGGAUCAGGUAGGGAUACCCGCUGAACUUAAGCAUAUCAAUAAGCGGAGGAA
RNAcentral lists this ribosomal RNA (612 nucleotides) under Cryptococcus sp. AUMC 7799. Its description in RNAcentral is "eukaryotic LSU rRNA". The stretch from base 158 to 311 matches the Rfam family "5.8S ribosomal RNA". Lineage: Eukaryota; Fungi; Basidiomycota; Tremellomycetes; Tremellales; Cryptococcaceae. The record is from RNAcentral.